This 253-nucleotide ribosomal RNA is filed under the name uncultured bacterium. RNAcentral's name for it is "partial 16S ribosomal RNA". It matches the Rfam family "Bacterial small subunit ribosomal RNA", at positions 524 to 776 of the family's 1533-position model. The record is from RNAcentral.
UACGUAGGGGGCAAGCGUUGUCCGGAAUCAUUGGGCGUAAAGCGCGUGUAGGCGGCCCGAUAAGUCCGCUGUGAAAGUCCAGGGCUCAACCCUGGGAUGCCGGUGGAUACUGUCGGGCUCGAGUCCGGAGGAGGAGUGUGGAAUUCCUGGUGUAGCGGUGAAAUGCGCAGAUAUCAGGAGGAACACCAAUGGCGAAGGCAGCACUCUGGGACGUGACUGACGCUGAGACGCGAAAGCGUGGGGAGCAAACAGG